This 450-nucleotide ribosomal RNA is filed under the name endosymbiont of Alviniconcha sp. Its description in RNAcentral is "bacterial SSU rRNA". It matches the Rfam family "Bacterial small subunit ribosomal RNA", at positions 124 to 599 of the family's 1533-position model. The record is from RNAcentral.
ACGUGCCUCCGAGACUGGGUAGCCAUUGGAAACGAUGAUUAAUACUAGAACUCCUUCUAGUCAGAGGAUAGAAGGGAAAGAAUUUUUGCUCGGAGUCGGUCUAUAACCCAUCAGUUAGUUGGUAGUGUAAGAGACUACCAAGACGAUGACGGGUAGCGGGUUUGAGAGGUGAUCCGCCACACUGGUACUGAGACACGGACCAGACUCCUACGGGAGGCAGCAGUGAGGAAUAUUGCACAAUGGGGGGAACCCUGAUGCAGCAACGCCGCGUGGAGGAAGACGCAUUUCGGUGUGUAAACUCCUUUUAUAUGUCAAGAAGAUGACGGUAGCAUAUGAAUAAGCACCGGCUAACUCCGUGCCAGCAGCCGCGGUAAUACGGAGGGUGCAAGCGUUAUUCGGAAUCACUGGGCGUAAAGGACACGUAGGCGGGAGGUCAAGUCUGAUGUGAAA